AACGAACGCUGGCGGCAUGCCUAACACAUGCAAGUCGAACGAGAUCUUCGGAUCUAGUGGCGCACGGGUGCGUAACGCGUGGGAAUCUGCCCUUUGGUUCGGAAUAACGUCGGGAAACUGAAGCUAAUACCGGAUGAUGACUUCGGUCCAAAGAUUUAUCGCCAAAGGAUGAGCCCGCGUAAGAUUAGCUAGUUGGUGGGGUAAAGGCCUACCAAGGCGACGAUCGUUAGCUGGUCUGAGAGGAUGAUCAGCCACACUGGGGCUGAGACACGGCCCAGAAUCCUGCGGGAGGCAGCAUUGGGGAAUAUUGGACAAUGGGCGAAAGCAUGAUCCAGCAAUGCCGCGUAAGUAAUGAAGGCCUUAGGGUAGUAAAGAUCUUUUACACGGGAUGAUAAUGACAGUACCGGGAGAAGAAGCUCCGGCUAACUCCGUGCCAGCCGCCGCCGUAA
This 449-nucleotide ribosomal RNA is filed under the name uncultured bacterium. RNAcentral's name for it is "partial 16S ribosomal RNA". It matches the Rfam family "Bacterial small subunit ribosomal RNA", at positions 29 to 523 of the family's 1533-position model. The record is from RNAcentral.